Molecule: ribosomal RNA, 252 nt
Filed under: uncultured bacterium
Lineage: Bacteria
Description: partial 16S ribosomal RNA
Rfam family: Bacterial small subunit ribosomal RNA
Source: RNAcentral
UACGUAGGGUGCAAGCGUUAAUCGGAAUUACUGGGCGUAAAGGGUGCGCAGGCGGUUUGGUAAGUCAGCGGUGAAAUCCCCGGGCUCAACCUGGGAAUGGCCGAUGAGACUGUCAGGCUAGAGUGUGUCAGAGGGGGGUAGAAUUCCACGUGUAGCAGUGAAAUGCGUAGAGAUGUGGAGGAAUACCGAUGGCGAAGGCAGCCCCUGGGAUAACACUGACGCUCAAGCACGAAAGCGUGGGGAGCAAACAGG